This 1366-nucleotide ribosomal RNA is filed under the name uncultured bacterium. RNAcentral's name for it is "16S ribosomal RNA". It matches the Rfam family "Bacterial small subunit ribosomal RNA". The record is from RNAcentral.
AGAGUUUGAUCCUGGCUCAGGACGAACGCUGGCGGCGCGCCUAACACAUGCAAGUCGAACGAGAGAGAAGGAGCUUGCUUCUUCGAUCGAGUGGCGAACGGGUGAGUAACGCGUGAGGAACCUGCAUCAAAGAGGGGGACAACAGUUGGAAACGACUGCUAAUACCGCAUAAGCCCACGGGUCGGCAUCGACCAGAGGGAAAAGGAGUAAUCCGCUUUGAGAUGGCCUCGCGUCCGAUUAGCUAGUUGGUGAGGUAACGGCCCGCCAAGGCGACGAUCGGUAGCCGGACUGAGAGGUUGAACGGCCACAUUGGGACUGAGACACGGCCCAGACUCCUACGGGAGGCAGCAGUGGGGAAUAUUGCACAAUGGGGGAAACCCUGAUGCAGCGACGCCGCGUGGAGGAAGAAGGUCUUCGGAUUGUAAACUCCUGUUGUUGAGGAAGAUAAUGACGGUACUCAACAAGGAAGUGACGGCUAACUACGUGCCAGCAGCCGCGGUAAAACGUAGGUCACAAGCGUUGUCCGGAAUUACUGGGUGUAAAGGGAGCGCAGGCGGGAAGACAAGUUGGAAGUGAAAUCCAUGGGCUCAACCCAUGAACUGCUUUCAAAACUGUUUUUCUUGAGUAGUGCAGAGGUAGGCGGAAUUCCCGGUGUAGCGGUGGAAUGCGUAGAUAUCGGGAGGAACACAGUGGCGAAGGCGGCUACUGGGCACCAACUGACGCUGAGGCUCGAAAGUGUGGGUAGCAACAGGAUUAGAUACCCUGGUAGUCCACACCGUAACGAUGAUUACUAGGUGUUGGAGGAUUGACCCCUUCAGUGCCGCAGUUAACACAAUAAGUAAUCCACCUGGGGAGUACGACCGCAAGGUUGAAACUCAAAGGAAUUGACGGGGGCCCGCACAAGCAGUGGAGUAUGUGGUUUAAUUCGACACAACGCGAAGAACCUUACCAAGUCUUGACAUCCUGCGACGAUGCUAGAAAUAGUAUUUUCCUUCGGGACGCAGAGACAGGUGGUGCAUGGUUGUCGUCAGCUCGUGUCGUGAGAUGUUGGGUUAAGUCCCGCAACGAGCGCAACCCUUAUGGUCAGUUACUACGCAAGAGGACUCUGGCCAGACUGCCGUUGACAAAACGGAGGAAGGUGGGGAUGACGUCAAAUCAUCAUGCCCUUUAUGACUUGGGCUACACACGUACUACAAUGGCGUUAAACAAAGAGAAGCAAGACCGCGAGGUGGAGCAAAACUCAGAAACAACGUCCCAGUUCGGACUGCAGGCUGCAACUCGCCUGCACGAAGUCGGAAUUGCUAGUAAUCGUGGAUCAGCAUGCCACGGUGAAUACGUUCNCCGGGCCCUUGUACACACCGCCCGU